GAGUUUGAUCCUGGCUCAGAACGAACGCUGGCGGCGCGCUUAACACAUGCAAGUCGAGCGGUCCGGGGCAACUCGGGCAGCGGCGAACGGGUGAGUAACACGUGGGUAAUCUGCCCUCGAGACAGGGAUAACCCGGGGAAACUCGGGCUAAUACCAGAUAAGCUUCCGGAGAGGCAUCUCUCUGGGGGAAAAGGGGCAACCCACUCGAGGAUGAGCCCGCGGCCCAUCAGCUAGUUGGCGGGGUAAAGGCCCACCAAGGCGACGACGGGUAGCUGGUCUGAGAGGACGACCAGUCACACUGGAACUGAGACACGGUCCAGACUCCUAUGGGAGGCAGCAGUGGGGAAUCUUGCGCAAUGGGCGAAAGCCUGACGCAGCGACGCCGCGUGUGCGAUGAAGGUCUUCGGGUCGUAAAGCACUGUCGCGAGGGAAGAAACCUGACGGUACCUCGAGAGGAAGCACCGGCUAACUCUGUGCCAGCCGCCGCAGUAAU
Molecule: ribosomal RNA, 493 nt
Filed under: uncultured delta proteobacterium
Lineage: Bacteria; Deltaproteobacteria
Description: bacterial SSU rRNA
Rfam family: Bacterial small subunit ribosomal RNA
Source: RNAcentral